This is a long non-coding RNA of Bos mutus (wild yak), 1547 nucleotides long. NCBI's taxonomy places the organism in Eukaryota, Metazoa, Chordata, Mammalia, Artiodactyla, Bovidae. The record is from Ensembl.
AGGACGCCGGAGCCCAGCCCAACGGCUUCCACCGCACGCCGCGCUGCAGCGCCGGCUCCGCCGCGGAGGACUCCGGCUCGGAGGGUGGAGGCGAGUGGGCGGACCCCGGCGCGGAGGCGCUCUUCUCCCGGACUCAUCUCUAACCCCGCCCCCCCGCAGAGCAGUACAAGUUUUUUUUUUUUUUUAAUUGCUAUGUGAGGGGGAAAGUACCCUUUUGUGAGGCCUGUUAAUCUAAAACAACAACUUAGGUUUCUUCUUCAAUUAACUGGUUCAGAUCAGUAAUUCUCUUUCUCUUCUUGCUUAUUUUAGAGUUGAGGACAGCUGUCCUGUUGAAGAUUUUCUUUCUUUUUUUUUUUUUUCUUCUUCUUCCAAGCUGUUAAAAUUCUUGGCUCUCUGAACUAGACUAGAACCGGUGUGCAUGUGCUCGUCUUAGAAGCAUCACUGCCUUCCGCGUCCUCCCGCUGCCGCAGCCCUCCCCACCUCCGGCCGCAGUCCGUCACCGCCCCCCCUUGCUAGCACCGCAGCGUCAGCGCCCACGUCCACUCCUCAGAGACUCUAGCUUCGGGGACACGCAGGCUCUGUCCUCUCCGAUCUGGGGUGUGAAUGCUUACCCCUGCGGCGGGUCAGUGCCUGUCUCCGGAGGCCAGAGGGCAGCCUGGGUGACUCAUCCCCGGUCUCCAUUCAGUAAAAAAAAUCUCAUGUACAUUUAACGUAGGAACUGCAAGGGUGUGCUUUUAGAGACUUAACAAAAAUACUGUGUUUUCUAUCUUAGGAUCUUCCCCUAGAGUAUGUACCAUGGACAGUGCCAUGGUCGGUGACCUCCUCGCUAGCUGAGGCAGCCAAGGACUUGGAGGUAUGGGGUGGCAUGUAAGGCCAGGUGGGGCAGAGGGCGGGGAAGUGCACCCCAGCCUGCUGUCGUCGCAGUCUCUUUGCCCGCCCCCGACACCGGUCAGGGUUUGCGGUGAGUCUUGGCAAUACUCGGUGAGGACCUGGGUUGCAGGUGAGAUUCUUGCAGUGACCGACAUGGAAUCCAAGCCCCUCCCCCCCNNCCUAGAACUUGAGAUUGUAAACGUCUGACCUGAAACAAAGGCCACCUCACGACCCCAAAGAGACCUUGGCUGCAGCAGCUGGCUGCGCUCCUGGCUCUGACUUAGAGUAGCUUAGAUCUUCUUUUGUGUUUGAGAGAAUGUUCUGGGCAAGUUCUGUGUGGCGGGUCUGAGAGCAGAGUCCUGGUUUCUCCCGUACCGGUGUGAGGGCUCCACGGGGCCACUGGCCCGUGUCGUCGGGAAGCCAGGGCUCGGUCAGUCUCGUCCAGGCCCAUCCGUUUCACGACGGUCACUUCCUCAAGCUUUUCACACCGCCGCGCAACAGGCUGAAGUUAGAAGGAGCAAUAUUUGCAAAACCUAAAUGUUUAAAGUUACUUUUCUUUUUUUAACCGACGUGUGAGAUCAGUUGAGCGUGUCUGUAACGUCGGGAAGUCUUAACUGGAUGAGACAGCUCCACCACUGAUUCUGGCAGGCACUAGACACUUAAUAUGUUCUAGCUGG